UACGUAGGGUCCGAGCGUUGUCCGGAAUUAUUGGGCGUAAAGGGCUCGUAGGCGGUUUGUCGCGUCGGGAGUGAAAACUCAGGGCUCAACCCUGAGCGUGCUUCCGAUACGGGCAAACUAGAGGUAUGCAGGGGAGAAUGGAAUUCCUGGUGUAGCGGUGGAAUGCGCAGAUAUCAGGAGGAACACCGGUGGCGAAGGCGGUUCUCUGGGCAUUACCUGACGCUGAGGAGCGAAAGCAUGGGGAGCGAACAGGAUUAGAUACCCUGGUAGUCCAUGCCGUAAACGUUGGGCGCUAGGUGUGGGGACCUUCCACGGUUUCCGUGCCGCAGCUAACGCAUUAAGCGCCCCGCCUGGGGAGUACGGCCGCAAGGCUAAA
Molecule: ribosomal RNA, 376 nt
Filed under: uncultured bacterium
Lineage: Bacteria
Description: bacterial SSU rRNA
Rfam family: Bacterial small subunit ribosomal RNA
Source: RNAcentral